AUUCCAGCUCCAAUAGCGUAUAUUAAAGUUGUUGCGGUUAAAAAGCUCGUAGUUGGAUUUCUGCUGAGGACGACUGGUCCGCCCCCUGGGUGAGCAUCUGGUUCGGCCUGGGCAUCUUCUUGGGGAACGUAUCUGCACUUGAUUGUGUGGUGCGGUAUCCAGGACUUUUACUUUGAGGAAAUUAGAGUGUUUCAAGCAGGCCCGCGCCUUGAAUACAUUAGCAUGGAAUAAUAAGAUAGGACCUCGGUUCUAUUUUGUUGGCUUCUAGAGCUGAGGUAAUGAUUAAUAGGGAUAGUUGGGGGUGCUAGUAUUGAGCGGCCAGAGGUGAAAUUCUUGGAUUCGCUCAAGACUAACUUAUGCGAAAGCAUUCACCAAGGAUGUCUUCAUUA
This 389-nucleotide ribosomal RNA is filed under the name Dinophyceae sp. RNAcentral's name for it is "partial small subunit ribosomal RNA". It matches the Rfam family "Eukaryotic small subunit ribosomal RNA", at positions 582 to 975 of the family's 1831-position model. Lineage: Eukaryota; Dinophyceae. The record is from RNAcentral.